This 485-nucleotide unclassified non-coding RNA is filed under the name Hevea brasiliensis (rubber tree). The record is from RNAcentral. Lineage: Eukaryota; Viridiplantae; Streptophyta; Magnoliopsida; Malpighiales; Euphorbiaceae.
GCUGAUAUUCUUCUGAAAAUAUUCUAUUUAAACAUUCCACCAUGCCCAUACUAUUUACAUAGACAAAACCCAAGUUUUUACUUCUCUCCAAAAUGAGACCUUAUCUAGACAAAUCUGCUUGCAGAAUACAGGCUGGAUUUCAAAAUAAUAAUCUACUUGCAUGCCAUUCUACCCCCUAAGCACCAGGAAAUAUCACCCCUUGUGAUGAAACCUAACCUUCAACAAGAACUGCAUCUCAUUCUAACCCCUCGGCACUAGGAAACAUCACCUCUUAUGAUGAAACCUAACCUUCAACAAGAACUGCAUCUUAACUUGAGCUGUAUUAUAGACAAUGUACUCAUUAUACAUCAGCUCAGAGACCUUGACUUUUGAUGGCACUGGUUUACCACAAGGAACAAUGACAUCAUCGCUCCACUUCACAAAUUCCGACUCCUGAGGUACUUUCUUGCCAAGUCCUUUUGUUGAAUGCUUUCCUUCAGGAGGUU